Long non-coding RNA from Camelus dromedarius (Arabian camel), 511 nucleotides. RefSeq lists it as uncharacterized. The record is from RefSeq and is a predicted model, not a curated record. NCBI's taxonomy places the organism in Eukaryota, Metazoa, Chordata, Mammalia, Artiodactyla, Camelidae. The transcript is spliced from 4 exons.
UUGAAAAGAGGAGCAAGGAACGGUAAUGAGACACAAUUAAUGUCUUGCAUAGGUUUCACUCAAAUCAGAAAAAUUACACCAAGGACAUGGGGGUGAGCACAAUAGAAAACAGUUGGAGCACAGCUGGAAAAGUUGCCAUGAUAUAUAUUUGAACUAGUUGAGAGAUCGUGAACUGUAAAAUUGAUCCUCGAGGAACUGAGGCUUAUGCAAGAGAAGGUCCAAGGUCCCAAUUUUCUGAGACCCAAACUGCUAACUACUCUGCAGCCAGAUGUCCCAGAAAGCUUGCAUACAGUGACCAGUGUGAUUGCCAAGUGCUGGCCUGGAGUGGACCUUUGCCCAGAGUGCCCGGACAUCAGUGCUGGCAGAGUGGAAGAGCUCAUUCUAUCCUGCUCCUCUUUCUAGAGACGUCAGACACAGAAAGGAAAACCUCCAACCAGGAAGACAUGAGAAUUAUGGCGACCCAGUAUGAGGUAUGUGCACCCCUAGGCAUGUGCCUGGAGAGAAACGUGGU